GUUUGUAUAGUUUAUUUAAAAUAUAGGCUUGUGGUGCCUAAGAAGAGGUUACUCUGUAAACA
RNAcentral lists this transfer RNA (62 nucleotides) under Kaylathalia klovstadi. Its description in RNAcentral is "tRNA-His". Lineage: Eukaryota; Metazoa; Arthropoda; Collembola; Entomobryomorpha; Isotomidae. The record is from RNAcentral.